Molecule: long non-coding RNA, 6964 nt
Organism: Cyprinus carpio (common carp)
Lineage: Eukaryota; Metazoa; Chordata; Actinopteri; Cypriniformes; Cyprinidae
Exons: 6
Source: RefSeq, a predicted model, not a curated record
CAGAGGCUUUGAAUUAUUCACACAGUCUCCAAGAGAGCAGUACCAAAUCUCAACCAUUUGAGCGGUUCAUGUCUGCAACCACUGCAAACAUUUCUCUGUCACUUUACCUUGAAUGACAGUAUACCCGAACCUUCUCCACAUGGAGGCUGUAGCAUUCACUUUGUUCCCAGAGAUUCUCACUUUCCAUGGUUCGCCUUUUUGAAGUCAAGCUUUGACAACCCCUGGGAUCUCCACUGUGUGCUAAGUCAAACAGUGAGCUGGAAAUUAACUGCAGCGCAAUUUGAAUACAGCCAAAAUUCUCCGAGAAAGAUGCGAAUCUACUUGCGUGCUCCACUUCUUGACAGAUGGGAAAAUGCUGCAUAAUGGUGAGAGAAUAUUAACAUCAUCGUUAUAAUCAAAUUAAUAAUUAUGAUGUCUCUUUUGUGAUCACAUAUUUCUUUAUUUUGACUGUGAGUACUGAUCUGACUCAAGCCGUAAAUCAGUCCGGUUUUCACUCCCAUGUCUUUAAUGGACCAUUUAAUAAUACGGGAAAGCACAUCAAGUGUGUCAAGAAGGAAAACAGAAGGAGAGAGAAACAGCACCAGAGGAGAUGGCUUCACUGACAUGACAAGAAAGCAUAUUGAUUUCUCUUUAGGGUCACUGAACUCAGUGGGACAUUGCAGAAUAGGAGAAAGAGGGUCCCUCUCUGUUUCGCAGUGGAUUGCCAUGGUGACGAUGCACAGGCUGUGCUUGGCCUUGGUUUGUAUGGUGUGCCCUAAUUUCCAUCUGAAAGGUUUGUUCGCUUUCACUAUCUCACCGCUGAAUCCACUUCAGCCAGCGAUACAUAUCUCUCACAGUUCUUUCUCACUUUCUCUCGCUGUUUUCACCCUCCAUUUGUAUUUUACGCUCCCUUUGAUGAACCAUGGGGAGGUACUGAUUCCCAUUUUGGACGUGUCUGACCCCUAUUGAAAGGUCUGCGGGGCCAGUCAUUCAAUUUGCCCUGUAGGAAAUACAGGACUAGAAGCUUUCAAAAAAAGAGAGUGAUAGAACAAUUCUCUUAAAAAUGAAUAAAACAAGAAUCCAUCCUUUGUUUUACCUUGGUCUUCUGUGUCACCGAGCAUGUUUAAAAGCAUGUUGACAUUCAGUCAAAAGACAAAAAAAAAUUGUGCCGUUGUCUGCUCUUUUCAGCUGUUUUUUUUUUUUUUUAUCUGACAAGAAAGAGAUAGACACAUUUAAAAUGCUUAUGUCUCUGGCUCUUUAGGUGGUGUUAAUGAGCCAUGCUGUUAUUGUUUAAUUUCUCUUGAUCUUGAGGGUUGCAGUAGUCAUGUUCCUUCCAUCCAGCCCUAAUCAUGUAGCAGUCUGUAAAACCUAAUUUUGAAUUUUGUACAUUUCUUAUUCUUUGAUCGUAGUUAAAGUUCCCUUAAUUGCAGUGGAACAGCUUUCUUUAAACUCCAUCUUUUGCACUUUAUAUCAGCAAACUAGUCGUGGCUGGUGCUUUUUGAAGAGUGGGGAAGCACAGAUGUAAGUGACAUAAAGGAUACUUCGAUCUGUUUCUUUCCUGUCUACAUGCAGGGUUGCUCAUAAAAGCAGCUUCUCAAAGUACUACUAUGCAUUUAAAUUAAUUGAAAAUAACUGAUUAAACACAGAACAGUUUGCAAUGUUUACAUUUGCCCAAAAGUAAAAGUAUAAAAAUUAAAGUAUAUGAAUGAGUAUGUUAGAGUUUACUCUACCAUUCAAAAGUUUGGGUUGGGUCCUAUUGUAAUAUAUUUUAUAAUUAUAUUUAUUUCUGUGAUGGCAAAGCUGAACUUUCAGCAGCCAUUACUCCGGUCUUCAGAAAUCAUUCUAAUAUGCUGAGUUGGUGCUCAAGAAACAUUUAUUAUUUUCAGAAUUGAAAACAGGUGUUUAUAUAAAGUAAUAUUUUUCACUAUAUUGAAAUACAAUUCUUCAAAUAGAAAACUCAAAGGAACAGCAUUUGAAAUAGAAAUGUUUUGUAACACACUCUUUACUUUUGAUCGGUUUAAAGUGUCCUUGCUGAAUAAAACUUGAUUUCUUUCUAAAUAAAAAAUCUCUGCUACCAUACUUAUGAGCAACAGUGUAGUUCUGAAAUGCUUAAUGUGGAGAAUUAGAUAUUUAGGUAUUACAAACAGUAACCUCAUGAAUUUCUGUAAAGCUGCUUUUAAAAGCUGUGUACUAUUUAAUCUGCAUACACUCAGUAAAGUAUUGCUGACCAAGAAGCAAACAAUUAAGGUUGAUCUUCAGUAGCAUGUGCAAGUUACUAAAGGAUUUAUGCUAAUGUUGUCCAAAACGUGAAUAGAUGAAUAGAUGUAGUCACAAAGAAAUCGUCAAACAUCUAAACCAGGUCAUCUGCUGUAUGCCGUUGGUCCAACUGUUGAUGUGAGGACGUUUGAAGCACCUGGCUCCUGCUCAAGAAUAUACCGUAAACUCUAUCCUUCUGAAUGUGUGUCGUCCCUGAGGCAACAAGGGCCAGGAUACUGACUUCUGUUGUGCAUUCUGUAUCUCUAAUGACUUUCUCCUUCAUUAGCCUGAUUCAUUCAGGAUGGCAGUGCCCCUGCCCCCACCAACACCGAUCCUGGAGGCUAGAAAGCACUGAGGCCGAGAACUAUGUCGACGAGGAUCUGAGAGGACAUGUCUCCAUGGCAACACUAGGGGAGUGUUCCUUUUUCAAAUGAGAGAAUGAGUUAUCUCUGUUUCCCCUUCGUUUCCCUUUGGCUGUGCUUUUCCUUUCUUUUCCCUCCGUCUCUCUCUGCCGACGUUAAGCACUUUGUGUUCAAGACACAGCUAAUUGCAUCUGGAAGUUCUUGAAAGAGAUUUCUGCUCUUCAUAAGUGCACAUUUCUUUAUUGUAAAGAAUGUUUGAAUCAUUAAUCGGAGACAUAAAUCAACAAGUGUCCGGUUUCUAUUCCCAAAUCUUUAAUGGCCCUUUUCAAUAAAAGAUUCAAUGUAUAACAUAUCACUUUCUUUGAUCAGACCAGUUUCACAGUACGUUUGCAUUUAAUAUUCAGCAUCUCUGGGCCAUGUACUUUGUUUCUGGCAAGUUGUCAUGGUUUUGCACUCUGGUUUUAAUUGAAUCCCUGAUCAUAUUUCAAAGAAAACCCCUUGUGGAACAGGAUAUUGCAGAGAAAAUUGGAUCUUUAUCUUUGUUUUUGUGAGGUGAGAGGAAUUCAUUUAUAAGGCCUGCAGUGGCCCCUGUCUCAUUGAGUUGACGGGGCCAAAACUCUUGCCGUGACCUGAGCAGUGGAAAAGAGUGGGGAUUGAAGACCGAGGCUUCACAACACUGGUGUCAUUCUUCUGAAACUUGUCAUUUGGUCUCCCUGCAGUUGACUUACCUGGGUUUUUUCACUGUCCCAAAGUGAUUCCCUGGACCUCUCUCACAGAAAGUCACAUUGCCUCUACAAUUUGACACAAAAUGGAUCAUUUACUUCCAAACUGACAGUUUGUCCAGUGAGAAUCUACACAGGAGCAUAUCCUACUACGGGAGCUAGUGUCACUUCAGGCAGAGCAUCCCAUCACCUUUGCAGGUUCUCUCAUAUAAAAAGGCGAACUCUUGAGCUUUGAGGAAUUAGGGCUAGUCAUCAUUCUAUACCUGUCAAAGAAGUUAGAGUUGAGGUGGAAAUGAUGAGAUGCCUUUGAAGAAGGCUACCUAUCAAGCUUUUUGACUGAAAUAGAGAGGAAAAAGUAGAAAAGAAGGCAGGUGACAGGAGAUGCUGGCAGACUGCACCGCAGGAAGCCUGAAUUGGGAAAGAUCUGAGGCUCUCUGCCAUCUUUUCAGGUAACAUGAUACCAUAAUACUUCAGUCCCAUUAUCCCAUAGGCUCAGAGCACUUUCACUCCAAAGGAAAUAGGGAGGGAUCUAAUGUGAAGCCAACAUCCUCGGUGGACAAUUACUGGAAGCUUUUACCCAACAACAAAUUCCUGAGAAUAGGUAAAAACUAUAAAAAUAUGACUGAAAUACAUUUUAUCUUUGCGUCCUGUCACGUGGGAAUGCCCGCUGCUGCUGUAGACUCCCAAAUGCAUUUUUGGUAGAUGAAGGAGCUUUGUUCAUCCUUAAUCAGUCAUGAUGUUUUGAUCUAGUUUACAAGCCAGAGUACCUUGUAUAGUGCAAGCAAGCUGUUCUUUAAGACGUGACUUUGGUUCCAUUUACCAGUGCUGCUGGGAUUGUUGUCCGCAGUCAGGUAAACAGAGCGACAGCUUAAUCCGUUUCUGAUAUGAUUUCAAGCAGACGAAGGCUAACACUCUCAGUCAGCCAGAGAUGAGACUGUUUUUUUUUUUUUUUUUUUUUUUUUGGAAAAGCAGCUAGAUGUAUCUGCCGACCUUGUUUUACAACAGGAAAGAGAUUCUUUAUGAAUUAUUUGUUUUCUUGACAGAGAUGACUAGAAGACGACACAUAUAGCUGCAUUUAUAAGCUAGAAUGUGUUCUUAUAGAAAAUUCCACCUUGUAAUAUUUCUUUUAAAUUAUUUAUUAUUUUAUGUUUAUUAUUACUCAUUGCAAAAAACAAACACAUAUUAAUUAAAAAUGUGUUUGUGCUUUAGUUUGUGCACUAAUCUAGCUUACACUGUACUUUAAACUUGGCAUUGUGUAUUAUUGGCUCUUACGACAAAUUGCUUCCCUAUUUGCAAGUCUCUUCGGAUAAAAGCGUGUUUUAAAUAAAUAAAUGUAAAUGUACUUUAAUGUUGUUAUUAGUGUUGUUUGCUAAGGCAUAAUACUUUAGGGAUUUGAACAAACUUCUCACCUUAAUUUAUCACAUUUCAGUGUGUAAUUGCACUGUUUUUUACCUCACAACAUGCAGCUUGAGGUAGGCCAUUUCUCUUGUAAGUGAUUAAAGUUUUUGCCCAGCAGACAAAUAAAAAAACCUGCUUCAACUAGAAAGAGGGACCCAAGCCAAAUGUAAGGACUGUAGUAUCACAGACUUUUGAUUUUGGCCAGUUAGCAACCAACACCCUAGCGAUCACUCAUCUGUUGAAUUAAAGCGACAGAUUUUGCAAACACCAUUCUACGCAAGUUCUCUUCCAAAAUUUUUACAGUGAAAACUGAUCUUUAGAACUCGAGCUGAAAAGGAAAUACAUGAAAAGUUGUUUUUGUACAAAGGGCGAAGGGGACACAAGCUUCUCUGUAAUGCCUCGUUUAAGCUUGGAAAGAUUCCGAGCACAACAAACAAUAGCAAUCAAACACUAUGGGCUAAAGAGUGUGUGAGAGAGGGUCCAGUAUAGUGUUAUUCCUUGCCGGAAGAAACGAAAAAGAAACAAGCAACAAAACUGCUCAUCAGGGAAUGUUAGCAGACUGAUAGAUGAGUAUACCAUUGCUUAAUUGUGUUCCUGUUAGGAGGAGCCCAGAUGUGCAUUUGAGAUGUAGUCAAAGGUUUGAUGAGAGUGGCUAGGUGCCAGAGGAGUUGAUUUCCAGCAAAGCACAGAGAACCAAUCAAAUUAGGGUUAAAUUAGAGAGAAGAUAUGUUGAGUUUCAGUCCUCCCCUGUGUCUUUCUCUGCAGUGAAACUGAAUGAAAGAUUAGCUUCAUCAGCUACUACACACAGGUUAUAACUUCUAACUAAGCUUCUGUCAUUUAAAAGACAUCUUUUUGUCAAUCUGCUGUAGAUACAGUAGAUGUUUUUACCUUCAUUUGGGAGAAGUCUACACAGAGAAUGAAAAAUAACUUUUAACCUGCCCAUGAACUCUGUCAAUCAUAUGGCAGUGCACGGAGCCCUCACCUGGGGCAGCAUCAGAGUGCUGUUUCUGACCUUGACGCUGUCAGUGGCAGUCAAAUUUGUCAGCAGCUGUCACUGUAGGGGACUACAUUUCCAAACUGUGAGGUAAUGGGGAGGACAGAGAAGAUUGUUGGCCAGCAAAGGGUUAGGGACAGAAGAGGGCAUUUGGCUGAGAAUUUGGUGUUAAACCUUCAGGGCUCCAUUCAAAAUCGUUGAAUUUGGAUGAAGCUGACUCUAUAUUUGUCCUCCAGGGGGGAUGCCAGAGAAGAAAAACAACAGACCUCUACCCAUUUGACCAUCUGUGCAUUAGUGACCUCCAUGUGGUCAAGCUGACAUUGCCAGCAAGUGAAGAGAAGGGCCAGGAUGUAGGAUCCACACACCUGUUUGGGGUGCACCACUGACUGAGCCAAAUAUAGACAGUUUCCAUGGCAAUUGCAGAGAAUCUUUCUCAGGUGGAGGGGCUGCUGCAGUCCAAUAGCAGGAUGUGUUUUUCUAAAUGGCUAUAGGGGUCUAUUGCGUAAUGCCAUUUUCCGGGAAAUUGAAAAAGAAGUCCUGUUGCUUCAUGCACAAGUCACUUGUGCAAUCAGGUGACACUGAGAGAACAUUGGAAGUUAAAAGUAAUGUUUUGCUGGUUUUGUCUUUUUUUUUUUUAUGCUCCAAGAGCAAUGCUGUGAACUCCUCAACUUUGAACUUUUCACUUAAAUCUGAUUUGUGAGAAUUUGGAACCUUGUUGUUCCUUGAUCAACAAGGAUGUGGAUGAAGUUGUGCUACUCUGUAAAAUGGCAGUCACAUUUGUUUAUCCAUAGUGCUUCGUCUUGAUCUAGCUGUGAAAUAAGGCAUAUCACAAAUACAUGUUGCACCAUUGCAUUGGCUAGAAUGAUUGAAUCACUUUGUACUUUGAAUGCCAGCUCCCCCUGGGCAUUAUAUUUGGUACUGCAUGUCCGUUGAACCUCCAACUGUGCAAGUAAAUGUCUAUAAAACAUUUUUUCUCUGUUCUUGGGAUGUCUGAGGCUCAGUUCAGUGUCCAUGGAGUUCCCUUUGUUACAUCUUCAGAUAUCAUUUGGUACUUUGGCUUUUUUGGAAACAGUUAAUAUCUUUCUUCAAAAAAGGGUCAACAUCGUUCAUCUACCAUCUUAGGUAUUUUAAAAUCUAUUUAUCUAUUUUGUCUGUUCUUGUUUGACACAUGAUAAGAGUGUGAAGAUGAAAAUCCUCUCAUCAUUUACUCACCCUCUUGUCAUUCCAAACCUGUGUGACUUUUUUUUUUUUUU